UUGACCUCGGAUCAGUUAGGA
Molecule: ribosomal RNA, 21 nt
Filed under: Arthopyrenia salicis
Lineage: Eukaryota; Fungi; Ascomycota; Dothideomycetes; Pleosporales; Arthopyreniaceae
Description: partial 28S ribosomal RNA
Source: RNAcentral